GCUUACGCAAAGCAGCAAAGAUUACUGCCAUUGUUAGACAAAGUAGAGAAAUCAGCCAAACAAACGGAUCUUCAAGGAUUACUGCCAUAAGCUUCACAAAUUUCCAUGAUUUCUUUUUAAAAGAUUUCCUAUUUUGCUUACAAGUUACACCUAAGGCCCUUGUAAUCAUCAGUAAUAAAAUUAAAAAUGCAAAUAAUUAUCUUCUCACAGCAUUUGCAAUUGCAAUCGAACAAAAAUAUACAUACUUGGAUAAGUCCUAAUAGUGAGAGAUCUAAGGCAAACCAACACAUUUGAAUGUGAUAUGAGCUGCAGGCAUCCAUCAAUUUUAAUGCAAAUGUUCAAAAUUUUUGCCACGCUGUUUCAGACAAUGAAAAUAUCAUGUCUAUCACAACAAUCUAGUGAUUGGAGAAAGGGACAUGAAUUGAGCUGGAAAUUGGAAAUGGAAUCUUUACUCUCUCCCCAAUCCACACUGCAAGUCAAAGCUUAAAAAAGGGUCGGAGAAAGCCUUCGGUGACCUAAUCAGGGGGGAGAAAUGUUUAAAUAAUUGGGGAUUGGAGUGAGGGUUAAAACUUAAAACUGACAUCACACCUAUACUUCCCAUGUCAAUUACCAAUUUACCAUCCAUUGAUGGGAGCUCUAGUUGCUGGCGACUGGUGAGGUGCAAUUGGGCCACUUGACAAUGGUAUGCAUACGGUUAGAAAGCUACAUGUCGUCAGCUUACUAUCAAAGCACAUAAUUUUUUUUCCCUAAAUAAUGGAUUAGUUGCAUCAAUGACCUGCCACCUUCCACCUGCCAUCCCUAUAAAUGAACUAAAACCUUUUGUAAAUGUGCCAGCCUUCCUGCUGUAAUCUCUGAUUAAACUCAUUUCUUAAUCACUAUAAAACCUAGGCGCAGUUGGAAAACCAGAAACUAUGAGGAUUUUUUUUUUUUUUUUUUUCAUGCAUAACAAGUUUAUUUUUU
Molecule: unclassified non-coding RNA, 960 nt
Filed under: Hevea brasiliensis (rubber tree)
Lineage: Eukaryota; Viridiplantae; Streptophyta; Magnoliopsida; Malpighiales; Euphorbiaceae
Source: RNAcentral